CGGCGAGUGAAGCGGGAAGAGCUCAAAUUUGAAAUCUGGUGGCCUCAGGUCAUCCGAGUUGUAAUCUAUAGAAGUGUUUUCCGUGCUGGCUCAUGUACAAGUCCCUUGGAACAGGGCGUCAUAGAGGGUGAGAAUCCCGUCCUUGACAUGAACUACCAGUGCUCUGUGAUACAUUUUCAACGAGUCGAGUUGUUUGGGAAUGCAGCUCAAAAUGGGUGGUAAAUUCCAUCUAAAGCUAAAUAUUGGCGAGAGACCGAUAGCGAACAAGUACCGUGAGGGAAAGAUGAAAAGCACUUUGGAAAGAGAGUUAAACAGUAUGUGAAAUUGUUGAAAGGGAAACGAUUGAAGUCAGUCGUGCUCUUUGGAUUCAGCCGGUUCUGCCGGUGUACUUCCUUUGAGUGGGGUCAACAUCAGUUUUGAUCGCUGGAUAAAGGCUGGAGGAACGUAGUACCCUCGGGUAAACUUAUAGCCUCCUGUCACAUACAGUGGUUGGGACUGAGGAACGCAGCACGCCUUUAUGGCCGGGAUUCGUCCACGUACGUGCUUAGGAUGUUGACAUAAUGGCUUUAAACCC
RNAcentral lists this ribosomal RNA (574 nucleotides) under Filobasidium magnum. RNAcentral describes it as "partial large subunit ribosomal RNA". It matches the Rfam family "Eukaryotic large subunit ribosomal RNA", at positions 87 to 647 of the family's 3401-position model. Lineage: Eukaryota; Fungi; Basidiomycota; Tremellomycetes; Filobasidiales; Filobasidiaceae. The record is from RNAcentral.